UGCGUAGGUGGGCAGGUAAGUCAGUGGUGAAAUCUUCAAGCUUAACUUGGAAACUGCCAUUGAUACUAUUUGUCUUGAAUUAUCUGGAGGUAAGCGGAAUAUGUCAUGUAGCGGUGAAAUGCUUAGAUAUGACAUAGAACACCCAUUGCGAAGGCAGCUUACUACGGAUAUAUUGACACUGAGGCACGAAAGCGUGGGGAUCAAACAGGAUUAGAUACCCUGGUAGUCCACGCCCUAAACGAUGGAUACUCGACAUCAGCGAUACACUGUUGGUGUCUGAGCGAAAGCAUUAAGUAUCCCACCUGGGAAGUACGACCGCAAGGUUGAA
Molecule: ribosomal RNA, 328 nt
Filed under: uncultured Ferruginibacter sp.
Lineage: Bacteria; Pseudomonadati; Bacteroidota; Chitinophagia; Chitinophagales; Chitinophagaceae
Description: bacterial SSU rRNA
Rfam family: Bacterial small subunit ribosomal RNA
Source: RNAcentral